RNAcentral lists this ribosomal RNA (505 nucleotides) under uncultured bacterium. RNAcentral describes it as "bacterial SSU rRNA". It matches the Rfam family "Bacterial small subunit ribosomal RNA", at positions 21 to 518 of the family's 1533-position model. The record is from RNAcentral.
GGCUCAGGAUGAACGCUAGCGGCAGGCUUAACACAUGCAAGUCGAGGGGCAUCGGGAGUAGCAAUACUUGCCGGCGACCGGCGCAAGGGUGCGUAACGCGUGAGCAACAUGCCCGUAUCAGGGGGAUAAUCCAUGGAAACGUGGUCUAAUACCCCAUAGUAAUUAUGUAAGGCAUCUUAUAUAAUUUUAAAGCUUUGGUGGAUACGGAUUGGCUCGCGUGACAUUAGCUGGAUGGUAAGGUAACGGCUUACCAUGGCUACGAUGUCUAGGGGUUCUGAGAGGAAGGUCCCCCACACUGGAACUGAGACACGGUCCAGACUCCUACGGGAGGCAGCAGUGAGGAAUAUUGGACAAUGGAUGGAAAUCUGAUCCAGCCAUGCCGCGUGCAGGAAGAACCGGCCCUAUGGGUUGUAAACUGCUUUUGUAUGGGAGCAAUAAGGGCUACGUGUAGUCCGAUGAGAGUACCAUACGAAUAAGCACCGGCUAACUCCGUGCCAGCAGCAGC